Molecule: non-coding RNA, 11220 nt
Organism: Xyrichtys novacula (pearly razorfish)
Lineage: Eukaryota; Metazoa; Chordata; Actinopteri; Labriformes; Labridae
Source: the annotation of a GenBank genome assembly
ACAGCAGCUAUCUAAUGCAUGCCAAGAAACUGCUCAGAUUAACUCUUUCCUUGCCGGAUUAUUAAAGGUUUCCCUCCCUCAUUGGGGCUUUGCAUGCAUUUUCAUGUUAACAAACCUCUUGUAAAACAUGAUGCACUUUUUGCUGCGCCUAAUGAAGCCAGAGUCCAGUACAGAGUGCAAAAAACAUGGAUGGUCUUCUCCUCUUGAUUUGAAAGCGGUGUAAGGUGAGAUCUAAUACAGGUGUGGAUUAACGUGUGCUCCUUUCCACUAAGUUAUGUCUCUCGGGGUGUUUGGGAAAGGCCCCAUCCGUACCGUACUGUACGCUGCUGCGUCCCCGGGUCCCUGUGUCCUUCUCUCCAUCUGAAUUAUUCAUGCACCAAAGCCACGGCUCAUAUCUGUGGAGGCAGCAGCUUCCCCGCGUUAUGAGCCCGCAGUAAUGUGACUUUAUAGGGACCAAAGCUCCCUUUACUCAAGCAGCCAAUCCCACCGUCUUUACUCGCCGCCGCAGACUCCCUGACAUCCACCCUCUCCUUCCCUACCUCUCUGUUUCAUUUUCCAAUCCCUCUCUCUAUCCCCCUCGGUCUCUGUCUUCUGUGUCCCUCUCCCUCUCUCUAACUUUAUAAGGACAUACUCUAUAUACCUUCUGCUUACAGGUUUUCUUUUCUCUCCGUCUAAUAUCACACUCCUCUCCAGCCUCUGGCAGCUUCACAAAAACCCACUCCCAUAUAUCUUUUGAAGCCCUCUUUCUUCCUCAAUCUCCCCACCGCUCUGCCUGUUUGUCAGUCUCCUUAGCCCUCACUGAGCACUCAAUGUCCUCCCCCAAAUCAAAAAAAAAAAAAAAAAAAAGACACUGACCUGAUGUCUAUGUAUAGAAAUUUGCCUCAGAUGAACAUCCAUGCCCCGCUACACAGUGCAUGGAUGAUCACUGUAUCCAAGGGCAUUUGCCUUUAUUGCCACUGAACCAAACAGAUCAAUGCGCGUCAUGGGGGAUUUGCAGAGAACUAAGACGCACAUGGCUGCCUGCAAUAAUAUCACCCUUACAGAUUAUUUUCAAGGAUUUAUUUUUUCUUUGUUUCUGCUUGUCUGAAUUUUUCUCCCCUGAGUCAUUGAGUGUAAAGAUCAAGAUCCCUAAAAAAACUUGAACAGAUCUCCAGUCAAAGGAUGAUAAGCAGAGUUUGGAUUGUUGUCCCUAAAUCCCACUCAUCAUCAGUGGUAAAAUUGGAGCUAAAUUCUCAGAAAUACUGCUAAGUUCUUCUGAGAAAUACGAGUACCUCUAACAACCGGUAUUUCAAAGUACCUGACACACAGAAAACCCUCAUUUCAAGGAAAAAAAAUCUAUUAAACCUGUCAUAAUUUAUGAAUGAUGAUACAUAUAAAAAUCAUUUAUAGAUUAAAAAUGUAUAUACAUGUCUCUAUUGCAGGGUAGAGCUUUAAUCUAGAGUCCAUUAGGGAAAACAAUAUGAGCUGUUACAUACAAAACUAAUUCCACUCAAAGCGUAUCCCCUGAUAUUCUGGUUUGGAUCAUUAGAGCUACGAGUAAUGAUUAUUUUCUUUGUGGAAUAAUUUCCACAUUAUUUGCUUGAUCAAUUGAUUGUCGAAAAGGUCAAAAAGCUCGUGGAGAAUACUGAUUACAUUAUUAUUCAGAGUGUAGAUGCACAUAUUCAAAUCACUGGCUCUCUGCCACCCACUCUCUAAAGUCAGAGUAAAUAAUUCAAAACAGCAGAUAAAACUCACAUACGAGACGUCAUCAUCUACAAAUCUUACAUUUCUUUAAUUGAAAGGGGAGAAAAUGAUUCUAUUUUUGAUGGGUUGCUAGUUUAAAGUCUCGGCAGUGCAGUUAAUACAAAACAAAAGGUGCAGCAGACCAUCAAAUAUCAUGACAUAUGCUUUGUUCCAGUCAGAAGUCGGAUGUUGGAGCUGGGAAUGUCGUUACACCUGAGUUGACGGCAUUCCAGUAAACAAGUCCAAAAACAAGAUUAACGCCUACUGUUAGCCGUUGUUAGCUGACGUUUACAAUUGUCAGCUGUCGUUAGCCAUUGUCAGCUGUUUUUAAUUGUUAUUUACUCUUAUAAAAACACCUUAGCACAGUUAGACGUAGGGCAGUACAACAUAUACCACUUAUUUAAUUUCACAAAAACAAAACAAAAGUGCUAAUAAAUAAUACAUUACAACAGCUUUCACUGUUAGACUUUACUGUAGAUGCACUGAGCUGCCAUCUUAGUUUAUGAUGUCGUCAAGUUGCAGAGAUAGAUAGAGUACUUGACCCCAGUACUUGAGUAAGAGUACAAAUACUCCAGGUCAAAAUUUACUCUGCUACAAGUAAGAGUAGCCCAGACAAUACGUUACUCGAGUAAGAGUAAAAGAGUACUUGCUUUUAAAUGUACUUAAGUAUUCAAGAGUAAGAGUAAGAGUAAAUUCCUAUUUUUUCACAUGAAUUACUGUCGUUUUACAAUUUUAUUUAUAGUACCUUGAAACUCUUGUUUCAGAGAAUUAACUCUUUGAAACCACCUGGAGUUGGUGAGGCUCAUCCAACUUUCCGACUUCAGGGGCGUGUUCCAGAUGAAUUUCCAACUCGGAGCUCGGAAAUCCCAACUUUCGAGUACAACUUGAACACAGCAAUAGACCACCAAAAGAUAAGAUACCUGGGUCAUGAUAAACUAUCCAUAACACAAUGUUCUUAUCAAAAUGUCUGGUUGUCGGUUAUAGGCAGUGAUAUAUUGAUGGCGAACCUUACUUCAGCAGCAAUUGGAUGAGAUUACGACCGUUUUAGAAAAACUGUUGUCUUGUCCUCUGUACGAACAGAACAAAAUGCUUCUUUGUUCGUUGACAUUGCAGUGAAUGGGUCUAUUAAAGAGAUGCAAACCACAACACACAGACAGACUGACAAAGUGAAGGUGAAUAUGGAAAUGAAACAGACACAGCUUUGAAACAAAAGCAGGAUAUUUGAUCACAGAGUCCAGUGCCGGGCUGUAAAACUAUGAGUACCAUCAUUGUGGGAAAUUAGCUGCAGUCUGGGGUCCCUAUCAACAGAAGCAAACAGAAACAUCUGCCUCUUCUGAAUGAUCCCUCUGCAUGUUGAACGAUGAUGUGGCGGUCGUGCCACCACAUCAGUAAAACGCUGUGACUUUUAGUACAAAAUGACAAAUUCAUCGAGUGUUGUUCUGGCUUAGAUUUUUCAUCGAUGCAUUUCAUUUCGGAGUCUGACUUUUUUUAACUACUCUGUCAGAAAAACCUUAAAUUUAAUCAUCAGCCACAAAACCAAACAACAUCAUAACUUUGCCACCAAAAUGACAGCAGUAAAUCAAACCCAGUUAAUAAAUCCCCUUUCUAAGCAGGCACCGGUUCUCUGUCCCCCCCAAAAAAGAGACAAUUUAUUUUUAAUAGACUAACACAUGUAGUGGUGACACAUUUGUUACUGAUUGGCCCAGACAGGCAUGCCAUCAGGGGACAACAUGUCAGCUGUUGCCAUGGUAUCUUUUUUUUUUUUUUAUUCCCUCUUUCAAUUUCACAGAGCUGCACAUUUGAUACAUAUUCAGGCCAAUACCUUACCUCAAACGACAUUUCAAGUACAGCCAUUUUCUGUGUUCAACUUCAAACCUAAAAAGACCUUGGGCGUACAGUUGGGCUGGAUUGAAAAUGCUCAGAGAUUUUCAUUCGGGCACGUUAGAAAUAAAGGCAGUUUGCCUAUGUAAUAAAAACAUGAAAGGGAAUGAAGGCACAAAAUGAUCUUUAAUAUCCUAUUUUUAUUAAGCCAUUUGAAUAGUUUGAGGGCUGAGAGAGGGAACGAUCUAUGAUUAUGUGCUCUAAUGAUGGUAUUUAUACCAGAGUUAGUGCCUUUGCCUCUCCUGUCAGCUCUGUGCCGAUUUGAAGCUUGUUUUUAAUGUGUCAGCGUUGUUGCUUUUGAUUCCUCUAUAUUAGCUCUGCGGGCUUUCACAAGUCAUAGAAAUGUCUCCUCUGCGUUUCCCACAUUGUCACAGGCAGAGCAAAAGGGGUCCCUCUGAAAUAAUUAGUACGUUACAUGCUGUCAGGACCAGUAAUGCAAAUCAAAGUCAAACAUCUUGUUAUGUGAUAAUUUAUCGAUCCAGUCGGAGAAGAUAACGUGUAAUUUCCUAAUGGAGGCUGAUUGAAGAGUGCACCUCAGAGGGGACGGGGAACAGAGGAAACCGGAGCUCCUCUCAGCCAGCUGGAUGUGUUAUUUUUCCACUGCUAUGUUAUCUGAGCAGCGUGCUAAUAGAAAUUCUCUCUACCCUCACAUAUUGGAAAGAUAUUCAUCAUACUGCUUUCACUGAGAUGAUGCAGUAAUGCAUUUUGGACAGAGCAAUUCUCCUGGAAGCUUAGCAAGAAUAAUAUGUUCUUUUGCUACCUUUUUCUCAUUUUUGAUACAAGGUGCAAGUUUCCGUCUAGUGUACUAACUCCUCGUCUUUCAGGGUCAAAAAUCAAAACAAGAGCCAUGCUAAUACCAAAGCUACAAAUCUCAAGGAGGCGCUGAGGUUUCUAAUUUCAGGAAUACCUGCCAAGAAUCCGAGCUAAGCUUUAAUAUCAGUCCCAGAGGUAGUUUCACCUCAAGACGAUGAGUCUGCCAAAGUGUCAGACAGACUGGUGGUCGGAUUCAUUUCGUCGUCUGCUGAUUUGAAACUGAGAGACUUUACUUUUCCAUGGAUAUCUUUUUAAGAAGCUUUUUAUUGCUUCUGAGAUCAGCCAAGAUCUGUAGGUUUCUUUCUGUCCUUGGAGAGCUUAUAAAACAAAUCUUCCUCAGGGAAGACUACAGUGAUCUGUCUUUGUUGUAAUAACACAGUUUGGGCUGCUAGUUUUAAUAUUCCACAACUUUACCAAAGACAAAGUUAAGCUCAGACUGUAAUCAGAGGAGAUCAGAUCUCACAGGUAUUGGCUGGCACUGGUGUAUCCUUCUUUAUUUAAUGUGGUUAGAAAAAUGGUUUUGAAUGUGCUGCAUCAUAACAAGGUAAAGUUAUUUUUUAAGAUUGGAAAAAUAUAUAUAAUUUUGAUAAUCAUCACCCCUCUCUACACCUCACACUUGCAAAUUUAGCUGCAUCCAAAAGAGUGUGUAAGUUUCUCACUGUCUUCUGGACUGUGAGGAGGAAACAGCUGGGUGAAACAUUUGCAGUAUUAACUAUUCGAAGUAGGGCUGUAAUUUUUCAGAUUUACUGUCAGGGGGCUACUUCAGUUAGCUUGCUAGCAGUCUGCUACUCCUCUUCAUCUAGCACCCUCUAUUCUGUGACAUGUGGCAACCAGCGUACAGGACUGCUUCUAUAACCUCAUGGUAUUACUCAGAGAUAUACCAUAGUAGAUUUUAUAGACGCAAAGGUGCAAACAUGAACUACACAAAGACAUAAUCAAGCUGGCAGCCUCUUACAGGUUUUAUUUUAGUUACAGCAUCAAACACAACUCAUGACAAUCAGACGGACAGUAGAAGCCCAAACAACCCCCUGAAUCCCUUUAAUUGUUCCUUCUUAUACAUCCCCAUUGGCGUCAUUAGUCCUAGUCCCGCAAGCGGCCUUCACGUUGGUGUCUGAUAGCCAACAACGUGAUUUCUUGUGUAAACAAAUUUCCUCUCUGGACAGUUGAAAGUUCAUCAUGACCUGGACUCUCUCUGGCUGUAUCCUGUUUGCAGUUUCACAAUAACUUUGCUCCAAAAACACGUCUAUUAUUCGCUCCCACAGCACCGAUCCCUUUUUUCCUGAUACUGAUACCUGGGCUGAGCGUAUCGGCCGAUAUCCGAUACCUUUCCAAUACUACUGUUGAAUGAAUGAACUGUAAACCUUGCCCUGUGAGUGAAGGCAUCAGGCUUGACAUUAGCCUUGUUAAAAAGGAAGGUUACAAAUUUACACAGAUAUAAAUUUAAUAUUUAAUUUUAUUUAAUAUUUUUAUUUAAUAUUUAAUAUUAAUUUUAUUUAUCAACAAGUAACAAAUUGCACAUUAGCGCACAGCAACAAGAAGUAAGACUUCCAUGUAAACAUUUAGUGCAAAAGGAUAGACAGACAUAGAAUAUAGAGUGAACAGAAUUGCUGUGCUGUGUGUGAUAUAAAAAAAAAAAAAAGACUGGAUCGGCAUCUGAUGAAUGAUGCCGAUCCAUUUAAUUUGUCAAUAUCGGAGCCAAUAUCUGAUCCAAAUAUUGGAUCAAUGCAUCCCUAGUAUUACUGUAUGCCUAUUUUUAGCACAAUAUCAAUCAUUUCUUUGUUUGAAAUCAUCAACUCUGGUAAAUUACAACAGUCCUAAUUUAAAACGAUAAUACUAUAUUGUAUUGGCAGCCUGUUGACAUCUGAGCUGUGACUGAAAAAUCAGUAAAAUAAUUAUUUAGAAUCUUUAUAUGAGACAUGAUGUUUCUCAUUAAUUGAAUCUUGAAAACAAAUAAAGAUGCACAUGAAGAGGCUGACACAUGCCAAGCCUGCUAACUACUUCAUGCACUUUUUAGCUGCUCUAAUCUGCAAACAUUUCCCCACCAAAGCCCCCCGAGUGACGCUCUCUCCUUUCAUGUCUGCUGAAGCUCCGGAGGCAUUUAGCUUCAACCUCUCUCUCUCUCUCUCUCUCUCUCUCUCUCUCUCUUUCUGUCUGUCUUUCUCUCUCCUCAUCUUUUCCCUCUCUUUACUGUAUCUAAAGAAGUGUAGGGGUGUGUAGGGAUGGCUCAUCUCCGUCCCGACACCCUGACCCUCCUUCCUUACAGCACGCCGCAGCCCUUCUUGUCGCCUCAUCUGCAAAUGCCAGAGCGGUUUUGUGCCUCGGGGAGUAUGCAGAGAUCAAAUGGCCACAAUUCAAUGUUGUGAAUCACAGAACAGGGAGACUGUCACCAGAGGUCUCCCCAGAGCAUGCUGUGUGCCAGGAUGAAGAGGCCUGCUGAUCACUGACUGAUAGAGAACUCAAGGAUAACACCUGAGCUUCUCUCAUUGAUAUUGGCUGUCCCACUGACAGAUAAGAUAGACUUUGGUGGAAACGGUCUGUUUUGAUUCCCCCAUCUCAUUCGAGUGCCUAUAAAAGUGGCUUUUUCAGUUUGAAAUUGCUGCAGGGGUGUGGGAAACGGGACCUUGAAAUACCCUGCUGAUUUUCUUUGAAAUAAUGUCUGGUGUGAGAGUAAGAGCCGAAAAUUGACUUACUUUAGGGUUUGUCUCGCAAUGAAUGCAAUCCCCAAAAACCUGUUUAAAGCCGUCAACAUCUGUAAUCUAGAAAAAAAAAGGCAAGAUGUGUUAGAUUUCUUAUUAAAUGACUUUUCAUUUGAUCGAAAAUUAGUUUCUUGAUGAUAUUAGCAUUUUAGAGUAAGCAGGAAGUUAAAAUUAUUUGUUUACUUUUGCAAGAUUGUCUCCAUAAAAACAGGAAAGUCCUAUAACUGCCUGCUACUCAGCCUCGAUCGAAGAAAAUAAAAAGCAAUUCGAGGCACCUUUUCAGGUUGUAGCGAGGCUGACAGAGAGUCAAAGCCCCGUAGGGUCAUGCUUUCCUGUAGGCCUCCGCAGAGAUGACUUUCAGCUUCUUUAACGAUAAAAUCGUAAAGGUCUGAGACGAAAUCAGCCUUUUCCUGCCCUUGAAUAGUGCAGAUCUCUCUUUUUUUAAUAAACGCUGAAAACCUGACAGACUGUCUUUCACCAGGUAACUUUCCUGGACUCAAUUAAAAAAACUCUUCGUCUGAGUUGUCAACCUGUCUCUUAGAGUCCACACCAACUAAGCUCCUCAAAGAAGUCUUUUCUUUAAUUAUAACUUCUCAACUAAGAUCGAUAGGUUGAGUUUUGUGUCACUGUCAUUUAAUCCUCCUCCUGAUUCAGGGCAUGUUAGCUAACCAUAAGCCUGUAUCUGACCUUCUCUUUAUUGAGAAAAUUCUCCAGAAAGUAUAAACCAGACUCAGUAUAAUAAAAGUAUAAUUUUUACCAACAGGAGGGAAGGAGGAGAUUUCCGAUGUGUGCUCCAAAUUGCCCAGACUAGAGAGAGAGAGAGAGAGAGCUUGACACGGACAUAACUCACAGGUCAAAGUUCAACAACUUGUCAAGGAUGUGAGUCUUUAUUUUUCGCUGUCGUCCCCUCCUAUCAUCGAUCAACAGAACUCUCUGGUCAAUAUAGAUCUGUCUAUAUCUGUCUAUGAAUUAAAAUAAUGUACCGUGGGCUUACAAGCAGGGGCGGGUCAGACCUUUUUUACUGGGGUGGCCCAACUCUGCACUGACGCUGCUGGGGUGGCACAAAGUAUGUGUGUCACACACAAGUAAGUAGUAUUUAUUAUUGCAUUCAGUUACUUUAAAUGAUAAUUUAUAUCUCCAACAAGGCAAAUAACCAAAUAAGAUGUUUUGGGGUUUUUUCUACGCAAAGUUCAAUGUUAAGGUAGGCUUGCACUUGACAAGUAUCUCAUGUUAUUAAAAACUACAACUUAAAAACUAAAUCUAAAUUAUUAAAAGAAAAAAGACUAACUAAAAACAGCCUUAAAACUUAUCCAACUCAAAAACAGAAAGCCAAAACUAAAGGAAAAAAAAAAUCUAAUCUGAAUUUCAGAACUUUUAUGACCUUGGUCCCCUCAUUAAGAAAAGUGCAGUUCACAUUUGUUGAGCACACGUAGCACUGCAGCUUCAUUUUUAAUUUAAAUCUCCCAACAUGCAGAUAAAAGUUGUUAGAAUCACAUGUUUUUAAAAGAAAUAAACUUUUUCUUCCAAUCUAAAAGUUCCCCCACAGUCAGUUCAGGUUCAGACAGCCAAUGGUACGGUGCGCAAGAGCCCCCAUGUAAACUAUUAAAUCAUUUUGAAGAGACUAGAGCUAUUAAUCAGAAUAACGGGAACUGCUGUAAGCUGGUUUAAGCCAUAAUUAUCUGAUAAGUCUUAAGGUCCUUACACACCAGGAGCGAAGCAAAUACAUGACGCGAAAUUACGAAAUAUUUGGAGGUGAAUUUUGAUGCACCUGACUAUACACAUCAAGCCCGAUUCGAUUUUGCAACUUUCCGGGGGGGAAAAAAGAUGCAUCCCGGGUGGAAGCAAGAAGACUGACACAACACCAGACUGACUGUUUUUCAGUUCUGAUUAGACACUAGUGUUGAGAUGGCUGUCAGGGCCAGUACCAGAUAAGCACAUUAAACUAUAAUCCAUAAACGUAAGGAAACAACAGAGACCUAACGGCGCUGUGACAGCAACACGAUUGAGUUUGAGACAGUGAAAAUACAUAUGGUAUGUUGUAUCUGAACAGGUUAGCUUACGAGCUAAAGUUACUUAGCACAGAUGAAAGUUAAAACAAAGACGUUUAGCAAACUCUUAAAGCACACAAGCUAUUGUCAUGUGAGAAAUCCGACGCUAUGACUCUCCACAAGUUGUCCUUCAGGCCGUUAUCAUAGUCUUUUAUCAAAAUGCACUCUGUUCUCUGACACGUAAACAAUCAGCCAGUCAGCCAUGUUGGAUAUACCGAUGAGUCAGACAUCUCAACAACACGAAAACUUUAAAAAGUUUCGCACACUGAUACGAAAAAAUAAAUGCUGCAAUAUCGCAGGACGGGAAAACGUCGCUGAUGUGAACGCUUAGAUUGACAGGAUACAGGUUCGAAAAAAAUAUUGAAAAAAUAAUCACACAAAAAAAAAACGCUCCCAGUGUGUAAGGACCUUUAGUCUGUAAGUUAAGGUAUUCCUCAAGGUUUUGUACUCGGGCAGAUUUUUUUUCACCAUUACUUUGCUAUCAUUGUGUAUUUCCAGGUAUAUUGUAUCAUAAGCACUUGUCCUACCAAUUAAUAGCAUUAUUGUCAUAAUUGUUAUUAUUAAAUAGUCCACCUGAAGUACUUUCUCCUUUGUAAAUAUUGACACUGGAACCAGAAGGCUGCAUGAGCGGUUUUGUUGUCUGCGUCAAUCAGUCUCUUUUUCUGCACCUCUUUUCCAACACAGUCUCAGCAGGUGGCUUUAAUAAUAAUAAUGCAUCAGAUUUUAUAGCGCUUUUUGUCAGUUACCUCAAAGCGCUUUACAUUGGAUACAUCACUCAUUCGCUCACACAGUCACACCCUGGUGGUGGUAAACUACCUUAGUAGUCACAGCUGCCCUGGGGCAGACUGACGGAAACGUGGCUGCCAGUUUGCGCCUACGGCCUUGAAUCUGGCCUUGAAAAUGGAAUAAGAAGGAUCCUGCCGUCGUGCAGGUGCUUAAAUUUUCUGAUAUUUACUGUCCUUUAGUAACAUCACAGAUUGUUCAAAUGUGGUGCGCCUACGUGGCACCCCACAGGCCUUGCAAUGUGUAGUGUGCAAGCAUGGAGUGAAGCACAAAAAGUAGUUAUUUGCAUUUGAUUAGUCAUGAAUAUACAUGAGCCAAAGUAGAAUAAAGACCAGCCGUAUGAAUUUUGGAAUUCAGCCCGUUAUGCUUCGGUUCGAGUAUGAAGCUUUAAAAAAAAUUUGUGUUUGCAUAAUAACACUUACAGCAAUGAAUAUAACCUCUCGCUUUCCAAAUCGUUUCAGUUGCUAUGGGGAUCAAAGCUUUCUGCACGCUUGAGUAGGAAUGACUGUUGUUGUUGUUACAUAAGGAGCACAGCUACUUUGCAAGGCUAGCCGCUUUUAGGUGUUGAACUGCCAUCGUCUCUGAGUGCACCGCUACGUGGGCGGCUUGCAAACCCCUCAGCCUGAGGAAGGAGCUGAUCCGAUCUGCACUGUCAGCACCGAUGGGACUUCCUGGACAGGCAGAGCUGAAUCCUUGAUUGGCUGUCAGUCAGCGUCAGUCACUCUGAGGCCUGACUAUCAUUCACGCAGAACACACACAGGCACACAUACAAAGGAAUGAAACAGGCUUCGGAGAAGGCAAAUUUAUUUGCAAGUAAAUUGCAAAACUUUCAUUCGGAGAGAAUUACCCCUGAGAAUGGAUCGGUAAUGGUUGCCUGAGCCACAACUGUUCUGCAGCAGCAGUUUACUUGUUGAAAUGUGAGACGCUCAUUAGGCCGAGGGUUCCCUGAUGAGACAGUUUAAUUACAUGCCAUGGGGACUGGUGAAGUGGUAGAGCUGCCAUUACCACUUUUAUUAGUACUUUGAACCAGCAAAACACAACAUAAGAUCUUUAUAAUGUCAUUGUUUUCAUUGUUUGCAGUGGGCUAUGGAGCAAAACAGGUCAUGCAAGGUACAUGCAACGUUGUUGGGCUUUUAUUUUGUGAAACAGAGGCUUUUAUUUUGUGAAAUGGAUACACUGCAGUGCUGCGAAGCAUGUUUUUGUAAAGCAAGGUGAGCAGCUUAGAUUCAGCGCUACAGGGGAGAAAGUAGGUGUCAGUUCAGCUUCAGAAGAUUUAC